UUUUUCUGUUUCCUAUUCUGUCUCAACCUGAUAUUAAUUUUUUUUUUCUUUCGUACUGUAGGCAUCCUUUGCUCUCGCCUGUUGCCUCCCUGAUCGCUUCCCUCACAAUCCGAGUCAUCCUCCACCUCUCUGCCAGAGGAUUAGAGCAUUAUACUUCCUCUGCUGAGAACUGCUCCAUAUGAUUUAGAAAUUAUUCAUCAGUGAAACAAUAUGCCAUAGGCAACAUGAUGUGUGAACUUUGCCGUGGCUCAGUGGUCCUCCGUGCUUCUUAGAAAGGCUGACAGUAUCAACGGGGAACGAGGAUGUGCGCCAUGAAGAAUUGAUCUGCGUUGGACAGGAGAUGAAAGAGGCGAGGCAGAAAGGAGCACGAGAGACGACAGACUUCUAAUUAAAUUGGACAGAUAAAGGGAAGAUGAAAGGCUGCGAGAGAAUAAGUGCUAAAAAAGGUUUGACUGUUUGAAUGACGCUGCACUUUUAUAUUGGAAAUAUGAGGAAGGUAAGAAAAAGACCCUUGAGAGACUUAGAUAUUUGGAUAAGUGCACUGACAAAUCUUUCUUUGUAUCGCACACGUUUAAAGGUGCUAUAUACUACAUUCAGCCACUAGAUGUCGCACUAGAGCACCAGCCUCUCGCACCAAAACAAAUAGACGCAUCGUUUUGUGAACAAUAUCAAGUGACGAGGUGCUGUAACUGGAAAGGCGUCACACAAGGAGCCACUUAGACUAUUUGGGGCGAAUGAGGGGACAGUGGGAAGGUUUAGAUAUUACUGAGAUAUUACUUUUCUAGUUUGUAACAUUGACCAGCAGAGGGUCCAACAGAAUUGCAAGUCUAUGAUGGUUGGAUGGGCCUAAUAAAAAUACCACUGUUUAAACUGCCAGUCUUAUAAAAUGCAAUAGUAUUUAUACUUAUUUAUACAAGUAGUUUCUAUGUAGCAAGCUACUUUUGCCAUGUUGCUGUAGCUUCCUGUGCUGUUUUUCUCUGGGUGAUAGCUUCGGUGUAGUGGACUGUAACUGGUAGCUUAGCGCGCUCAGUCACUCAUUCAAUCCAUGUGUUUAUUACUACUUAAGUAACUGGGUUUAACUCUGGUUUGUCCAGUAAGCUGAUUUCUUAAACAUCAUGUUAAGAGGAAACCUUGUUCCCUAAUAGGGUUAGGGUAUUAGCUUAGCUAUUAGCUAUUAGCCUGAUGAACAGUACCAAAAUCUGCUGUUACUGGUCAGAUUCAAAGUCUUGUUUACUUUUUCUCUUGAUGAUUGGUUUAAAACUAAAUCUUGCCACUAUUCAACUGUGUUUUAAGUUCUUGUUUGGCUGAUUGUGUUACGGCAACAUUUUAAAUUUGAGAACUUUUAGUUUUUUGUCUUAAUUAAAAAAAUACAUUUUCAAUUUCUUCAAUUUCUCAAAGCAGA
Molecule: long non-coding RNA, 1402 nt
Organism: Thunnus maccoyii (southern bluefin tuna)
Lineage: Eukaryota; Metazoa; Chordata; Actinopteri; Scombriformes; Scombridae
Exons: 3
Source: RefSeq, a predicted model, not a curated record